Molecule: long non-coding RNA, 702 nt
Organism: Notolabrus celidotus (New Zealand spotty)
Lineage: Eukaryota; Metazoa; Chordata; Actinopteri; Labriformes; Labridae
Exons: 4
Source: RefSeq, a predicted model, not a curated record
CAGAUCUCAUUAACACCAUGAAAGCUCUCUGUUUCCAACUGUCUUUAAAAGCAGCAUGGAACAGUUACAACAGGGAGAGCAGCAGAAGGCCACUGUGGCCCACGCUUCUUGGUUCCUCCCAAAACAACUCCAAGGACAGAUGUGAUGAAAGUUAAAUAUAAAGGAUGGAUCUUUUGCCAAGCAGGUAUUCAAAAUGCAAAUCUGCAGAAGCUUGCUCCUACCACUCACCCUCAGAUGGCAUAAUCCCUGUCAUAUUGUCACAUUACUGGAGUUCAGAUGCUAAUGGCUGCACCGCUAAUCCAGCUGCCGGCAAGCCUGGACUGGUGCCCAUACCCGCUCUGCCCGGCUCUGUAACAGCUGCGCCUUUGCUCAGUCAUGCCAGUGAUUCACCGGGGAUCCCAGAUACUGAGCAGGCAUGCUGGUAGUAGGAGGACUGGAAGCUACAGUGGACAUUACAGGGAGGGCAAAAAGGCGUUGAGAUGUGGUCACACCAGCUAGUUGUUUCAUUGUAGUUUUUUAAGUUUGGUGAUUUAUAAUCUCUGCUGACAGAAUCUGCAUACAAAUGAAAAACCUGUGGGAGUGGACUUUGGUAUUGGAAUAAAUGUUCUGAUUUUGGCUUGUAGAAAGAACCACAAUCCUGUCAGCAUUGGCUCUGUGAAGGAAAACUGUCAGUGUGGGGAGCAUAAGAGGCGUAUGCAAUCC